This 440-nucleotide ribosomal RNA is filed under the name uncultured bacterium. RNAcentral's name for it is "partial 16S ribosomal RNA". It matches the Rfam family "Bacterial small subunit ribosomal RNA", at positions 338 to 795 of the family's 1533-position model. The record is from RNAcentral.
CCUACGGGUGGCAGCAGUAGGGAAUAUUGCUCAAUGGGGGAAACCCUGAAGCAGCAACGCCGCGUGGAGGAUGAAGGUUUUCGGAUGGUAAACUCCUUUUGUUAGAGAAGAGAAUGACGGUAUCUAACGAAUAAGCACCGGCUAACUCCGUGCCAGCAGCCGCGGUCAUACGGAGGGUGCAAGCGUUACUCGGAAUCACUGGGCGUAAAGAGCGCGUAGGCGGGAUGGCAAGUCAGAUGUGAAAUCCUAUGGCUUAACCAUAGAACUGCAUUUGAAACUGUUAUUCUAGAGUAUGGGAGAGGUAGGUGGAAUUCUUGUUGUAGAGGUGAAAUCCGUAGAGAUCACGAGGAAUACUCAUUGCGAAGGCGACCUGCUAGAACAUAACUGACGCUGAUGCGCGAAAGCGUGGGGAGCAAACAGGAUUAGAUACCCGAGUAGUC